RNAcentral lists this transfer RNA (66 nucleotides) under Illex argentinus (Argentinian squid). RNAcentral describes it as "tRNA-Leu". The record is from RNAcentral. Lineage: Eukaryota; Metazoa; Mollusca; Cephalopoda; Oegopsida; Ommastrephidae.
ACAGAGUUGGCAGAAUUAUGUGAAUAAUUUAGGUUUAUUUUAUAAGAUUAUUAAUCUUACUUUGUA